UCAUCCUUAGAGGACCACCAGUUGCGAAGGCGCCACACUGGAACGGAUCCGACGGUCAGGGACGAAGCCUAGGGGCACGAACCGGAUUAGAUACCCGGGUAGUCCUAGGUGUAAACGCUGUGAACUUGGUGUCGGGGAUCCGCAAUGGGUCCUCGUUGCCGGAGUGAAGAUGUUAAGUUCACUGCCUGGGGAGUACGGUCGCAAGGCUGAAACUUAAAGGAAUUGGCGGGGGAGCACUGCAACGGGAGGAGCGUGCGGUUUAAUUGGAUUCAACGCAGGAAAACUCACCAAGGCCGACGGACAAAUGAAGAUCAACGUAACGAGUUUAUUGGAUUGUUCGAGAGGUGGUGCAUGGCCGUCGUCAGUUCGUACUGUAAAGCGUUCUGUUAAGUCAGAUAACGAACGAGACCCGCAUCCCUAUUUGCGACCCUCAUGUCCGCAUGAGGCGCACCAUAGGGAGACCGCUGGUGUGAAACCAGAGGAAGGCGCGGGCAACGACAGGUCAGUAUGCCCCGAAUGUCUUGGGCUACACGCGCGCUACAAAGGACAGGACAAUGGGAAGCCACGCCGAGAGGCGGCGCUACCCCGAAACCUGUUCAUAGUUCGGAUCGAGGGCUGUAACUCGCCCUCGUGAAGCUGGAUUCCGUAGUAAUCGUGUUUCAACAUAGCACGGUGAAUAUGCCCCUGCUCCUUGCACACACCGCCCGUCAAACCAUCUUAGUUGGGGAUGGAUGAGGCUGCGUUUAAAUGGCGUAUUCGAGUCUGUCUUCGACAAGGAGGGUUAAGUCGUAACAAGGUAUCUGUAGGGGAACCUGCAGAUG
Molecule: ribosomal RNA, 821 nt
Filed under: marine metagenome
Description: bacterial SSU rRNA
Rfam family: Archaeal small subunit ribosomal RNA
Source: RNAcentral